AUUACCGCGGCUGCUGGCACGUAGUUAGCCGGUGCUUAUUCUUACGGUACCGUCAUGAGCCCCAGGUAUUAACCAGAGCCUUUUCGUUCCGUACAAAAGCAGUUUACAACCCGAAGGCCUUCUUCCUGCACGCGGCAUUGCUGGAUCAGGCUUGCGCCCAUUGUCCAAAAUUCCCCACUGCUGCCUCCCGUAGG
RNAcentral lists this ribosomal RNA (194 nucleotides) under uncultured bacterium. Its description in RNAcentral is "partial 16S ribosomal RNA". The record is from RNAcentral.